AGAAUGACUCUCGGCAACGGAUAUCUAGGCUCUUGCAUCGAUGAAGAACGUAGCGAAGUGCGAUACUUGGUGUGAAUUGCAGAAUCCCGUGAACCAUCGAGUCUUUGAACGCAAGUUGCGCCCGAAGCCAUCAGGUUGAGGGCACGUCUGCCUGGGCGUCACAU
This 164-nucleotide ribosomal RNA is filed under the name Astragalus cymbicarpos. RNAcentral's name for it is "5.8S ribosomal RNA". It matches the Rfam family "5.8S ribosomal RNA". From Rfam's summary of the family: 5.8S ribosomal RNA (5.8S rRNA) is a component of the large subunit of the eukaryotic ribosome. It is transcribed by RNA polymerase I as part of the 45S precursor that also contains 18S and 28S rRNA. Functionally, it is thought that 5.8S rRNA may be involved in ribosome translocation. The record is from RNAcentral. Lineage: Eukaryota; Viridiplantae; Streptophyta; Magnoliopsida; Fabales; Fabaceae.